This 820-nucleotide ribosomal RNA is filed under the name uncultured bacterium. RNAcentral describes it as "bacterial SSU rRNA". It matches the Rfam family "Bacterial small subunit ribosomal RNA", at positions 1 to 819 of the family's 1533-position model. The record is from RNAcentral.
GAUGAGAGUUUGAUCCUGGCUCAGAUUGAACGCUGGCGGCAGGCUUAACACAUGCAAGUCGAGCGGAGAUGAGGUGCUUGCACCUUAUCUUAGCGGCGGACGGGUGAGUAAUGCUUAGGAAUCUGCCAUUUAGUGGGGGACAACAUUCCGAAAGGGAUGCUAAUACCGCAUACGUCCUACGGGAGAAAGCAGGGGAUCUUCGGACCUUGCGCUAAAUGAUGAGCCUAAGUCGGAUUAGCUAGUUGGUGGGGUAAAGGCCUACCAAGGCGACGAUCUGUAGCGGGUCUGAGAGGAUGAUCCGCCACACUGGGACUGAGACACGGCCCAGACUCCUACGGGAGGCAGCAGUGGGGAAUAUUGGACAAUGGGGGGAACCCUGAUCCAGCCAUGCCGCGUGUGUGAAGAAGGCCUUUUGGUUGUAAAGCACUUUAAGCGAGGAGGAGGCUACCUAGAUUAAUACUCUGGGAUAGUGGACGUUACUCGCAGAAUAAGCACCGGCUAACUCUGUGCCAGCAGCCGCGGUAGUACAGAGGGUGCGAGCGUUAAUCGGAUUUACUGGGCGUAAAGCGUGCGUAGGCGGCUGAUUAAGUCGGAUGUGAAAUCCCUGAGCUUAACUUAGGAAUUGCAUUCGAUACUGGUCAGCUAGAGUAUGGGAGAGGAUGGUAGAAUUCCAGGUGUAGCGGUGAAAUGCGUAGAGAUCUGGAGGAAUACCGAUGGCGAAGCAGCCAUCUGGCCUAAUACUGACGCUGAGGUACGAAAGCAUGGGGAGCAAACAGGAUUAGAUACCCUGGUAGUCCAUGCCGUAAACGAUGUCUACUAG